UUACGGCCAUAUCACGUUGAAACACCAAUUCUUGUACGAACACCGAAGUUAAGUAACGUCCAGUUUGGUCAGUACCUAGAUGACUGACCCCCUGGCAAGAAUAGGUGCUGUAAG
This is a non-coding RNA of Acanthosepion pharaonis, 114 nucleotides long. Lineage: Eukaryota; Metazoa; Mollusca; Cephalopoda; Sepiida; Sepiidae. The record is from the annotation of a GenBank genome assembly.